This 252-nucleotide ribosomal RNA is filed under the name uncultured bacterium. RNAcentral describes it as "partial 16S ribosomal RNA". It matches the Rfam family "Bacterial small subunit ribosomal RNA", at positions 524 to 776 of the family's 1533-position model. The record is from RNAcentral.
UACGUAGGGGGCUAGCGUUAUCCGGAAUUACUGGGCGUAAAGGGUGCGUAGGUGGUUUCUUAAGUCAGAGGUGAAAGGCUACGGCUCAACCGUAGUAAGCCUUUGAAACUGGGAAACUUGAGUGCAGGAGAGGAGAGUGGAAUUCCUAGUGUAGCGGUGAAGUGCGUAGAUAUUAGGAGGAACACCAGUUGCGAAGGCGGCUCUCUGGACUGUAACUGACACUGAGGCACGAAAGCGUGGGGAGCAAACAGG